CUUGCACAAUGGGGGCAACCCUGAUGCAGCGACGCCGCGUGAGCGAUGAAGCCCUUCGGGGCGUAAAGCUCUUUCGACCGGAACGAUAAUGACGGUACCGGGAGAAGAAGCUGCGGCUAACUACGUGCCAGCAGCCGCGGUAAUACGUAGGCAGCAAGCGUUGUUCGGAGUUACUGGGCGUAAAGAGUGCGUAGGCGGUUUUCUAAGUUCGGUGUGAAAUCUCCCGGCUUAACGGGGAGGGUGCGCCGAAGACUGGGAAGCUGGAGUGUGGGAAAGGCAGGCGGAAUUCCUGGUGUAGCGGUGAAAUGCGUAGAUAUCAGGAGGAACACCGGCGGUGUAGACGGCUUGCUAGACCAUAACUGACGCUGGGGCACGAAAGCGUGGGUAGCAAACA
Molecule: ribosomal RNA, 394 nt
Filed under: uncultured bacterium
Lineage: Bacteria
Description: bacterial SSU rRNA
Rfam family: Bacterial small subunit ribosomal RNA
Source: RNAcentral